Molecule: long non-coding RNA, 3874 nt
Organism: Vespula vulgaris
Lineage: Eukaryota; Metazoa; Arthropoda; Insecta; Hymenoptera; Vespidae
Exons: 5
Source: RefSeq, a predicted model, not a curated record
CCUCUGUUGGCAACGCAUUAAAGCUUUACUAUGUUGUCAUUUUGAAAAAGAGGUUAUUGUUUGUAAUCAGUGAGAAAACAUUCUCGAAUGGCGUUAAUGUUUGAUUUACGCAUUCAUAACUGUAAUUAUUAGAUUAAAAAUGAUUUUGUCAACAAAUUAUUGUACAAGUGUACAUCCUUUCUCCAUCAUUGAAUUUACGUCGAUUUCAUUUAUGAUACGCAUAAAAGGUUAUAUAACGCCUUUCAAUAAAAAAAAGGAGUUGCGUCUGGGUUGAGUUAAGAUUCAAAGUUUUUUCAAUAAGUUAGGAAUACUAACUUUUACAUCUUCAAGUUUCUGAAAAACGAGACUAGUAGAGUUUGCUGAAGUGUAUUCAAAUAAAACAAUUUUAUAAUGGAGUAAGAAUAAAUAUCAUUGAAGACUUUGCUAAAAGAAAUAUAUUAGUUUCUAAAAAUACAUUAAUCUCUUAUCGAAAUUGUAAAAGCUAAAAUUGUAAAAGUGGAGAAUAUUUCACAUUGUAUAACUAUAGAUAAUGAAAAAAAUGAUAAUUGAAAGAAUGAAAACACAACUUCGACAGAGAAAGGAGGUACUAUCUCAGACACCAUUUUUUGAUGGUAAGACUAUCAAGGAUUGUUUCCUAGACAGUACCAUUGAUCGACUAUUGGAAUGUUAUGUUCAAGCUAUAAAAUAUAAUGAAUAUAGCUUAGAUGUUAUAAAAAAAGCUAUAUGUACAAUCUUCUUCCAUAUAGUAUCAACGGAUAACAAGCUGCUUCAAAAUUUUUCUUUAAGCAAUUGGUGUAAAUAUAAAAUAGUUGGAGCAGAAGUUUAUCUACAAGACUUCUUUACCUGAGCUUGUUACAUUGAUUUUAAGACUACUUUACAGAAAUUUGGCAAAUUCAAAUGUAAUGAAGAAAUGUCUCGCAAAGAAACACAAUGUAAAUAAAUUAUUCAAUAACACUGUGUGAAUAAGUGUAUCAAAAAAUGUAUUUAUGGAGUCCUAUAUAUUGAAACUUGAUGUAUAUGAUGUCAUUAUAUUUAUUGAUGGUAAUACAGGCAGAUUAAAGGAGCUAAGAGGUAAAACAGCCAUACUGGAAGAACUGAACAAGCAGGAAAUUAAUAAAGUACAGCUACAAGCUAAAAUAUUGUCUAAAAUGAUAAGGUUUUUAGAAAGAUGAAAGAGAAUUUAUUUGGAUAAUACAGAAGAAGAUGAACAUUACAGUGGUGAAUGAUUUUAACUGCUGUUUUUACUAAAACAUUGAUUUGGAGAAAUAGAAACAACGGAAGUGUAUUAAAAAAAAGUGAAUCAAAAGUGAUUUUUGAGGAUGUCAACAAUGUUACACUCAUCAAGAAGUUUUAGUAUGGCGAAAGUAUAUUUAUAAUCAAAUAAACAGGAUUUAUAGAAGAAUUAUUGACCGAGAUAUUGUUGAGGACAAGUCCUGCUAUCAACCGAAUUUAUCUUUUGAUACGAUUAAAUAAAGAGAAGAAUGCUUCAACGUAAUAAGCUCAUUGGAAAUUCAGUUACUUGUUUACUUAUAAUCCGAUUAUUAUUUCUGUAUUCUUAUUUCAUCCUGAUUCAACUUACAGAUUCUUUAUAUUCUUAUAAUAUAUAUUUCUUUAGUAGACAGGUAAAAAAAUAUAUGUCAAAUUUACUAUCAUUAGUUUUGUAGAAAAGGAUUUAUAAUAUUUGAAGUGUGAUGUUAAAUCAGAUGUUAGAUUUUGGAUCAUGAAAAUUCAUAACAUAUAUCUUGGUUUAUUGAACUUAAAAAAUAUAAGUCACAUUCGUCUUAAAACAUUUUUCUUUUUUUUUUUCUAAAUACGACAUUAUUUUUACCUAAAUUUCCAGGUUUUUUGAUCAAGAAUGAACAUCCGAUAUAACCAAAUUUUGUGUUUAUGUUACUGUACCCAAUGAUUUAAAUUGAAAUAACUAAAUAAAUGUAAUAUCAAGAAAGGUAAUUUCUUUUGAACAUAUUAUUUAACGUGAAAUCGUAAGGGACUAAUACGAGCAAUGAUUAAUUUUAUAAAUACUUGUGUAUCCUUGUCUCAUUGUUCGUGUCCUUCUGUAUAUUCAUAUAGAGAGUAGUUGUUCCGUAUAAAAAAAGUUUUUAAAAUAUUGAAAGACUAUAGAAAGCUUCUUACGAAACGAACACCUGUUCGAAAUCAAAUUUAAUCGUUCGCGGUAACAAGAGAUACAUUAUUUCAAGGCUAUUAACGUUUAGUUAUAUAUUCAAUUAAGUUGGAACGUCGUACGAGUUUGCAAUGUGCCAGACGCUUCGAAGGAUACAGAAGGAAGAUGAUACUGCACAAGAACGUAUCUGCGAUUAAAAUAUACCGUCGUGCGUUAUUAACUGCUGAUCUAGUUCGAAAUAAUUUUGUUUUUAACAAAAAAAAAAUCUUUUCCGUUUGAUUUCCGAAGAAAAACAAGAAACCUAUGCCAACGUGGAGAGGAUAUGUGAUCAGCACACGUUCAAAAUACUAAAUGGAAAUAAGUUCGAAACAAAGUAUUAUCAUUUAUGGGGGACGAAAUCGACCAGAAAUACGUCUUCGACUAAGUUGAUUGAAACGAUUCAUUGGAAGAUUACAAGCCUCAAGAAAGAAAAAGAUAACAAAGCAAUAAUUACGUAAUUCCAACGGAUUGUAUAGUUAAAAUUGAUGAUGAAAAGUUAUAGAUUAAGAUUCGACAAUGUGGGUAAAACGUAUUAAAAAUAAUGGGUGGAUAAAAUGAUGCAACAAACGAUUCAUAGUUCGUGUGUUAGAACAGAGAAGAUUCAAUAAUAUUGUCAACAAGUAAAAAACACGAAGCUUCUAGCGAUAUACUUUGUCUGUUGUAAGUCAAUUUCGAAAUUUUAAUUUAAUAAUGUUCCGGUUUAUUUAUGCAGUAUCAAAUUAUUCGAACGGAAGCAUCGAAUACACAAAAAGUAAAAUUAACAAGACAUGUGUUCCAAAUGAGAAAGAGGAAACGUUACGAUAACGAAUAAAACGUUGAUUUUUACGAGAAAUUCUCAAUUUCAAAUUCAUACUCUCACAUCGCAAAGAUUCGUUUGCUUGUGGGAAAAAUUCUCGGAUCAAAAUUCAAAACGAUAUUCGAAAUGCUUACGGACAUUGAACAGGUAUUAAAAAAAAAUAUGUAUCCAUUAUAAUAGAUGAAAGUGAAAUUUUAUUCGAUAUAAUAAUUAAUAUUAUCCUUUUCGAAAUAUUUUUGUGGUUGUCAAUAUUACUUCAUCUUGGACAGAACAAUUUUUCGUCAUGGUUCAAAACAGAAAGUAAAUUGCAUAGGUCACUCUUUUUUAACACAACACAUUAUGCUAUUUAGAAAAAUGUUUUAAACAAAACGAAUACCAUCGAUUUUUAUGUCUACUUGCAAGUGACAACUGAGGAUCAUUUGGACCCAAAAGGAAGAAGAGGGAGAGCGAAUUCAAAGAUCUAUGGAUCAAUAUAUUUAAAAAAUUUAUCAAAAGCGUCGUUGUCACAUAAACGAAGUCUGGAAAAUUCUUGAUGUAGUUUUAGUAAGAUUUUGUUGUCUUUUUAAAUGACAUUUUAAAGUCAGAAAAGAAUUUUACUUUUAUCCGAUUGAUUCUUGGAAGAAAAUAUACUUAUCUGGUUCUAUGCACUAGAAUAUUUUAAUAGUAUAAGUGUAUACUAUUAUGUAUUAUCAAACUCAAAAUAAACCUUUCUCGGGCUCAAUCGCAUACAAAGAACGUUUUUUGUAAGUAGAUGUCCAGUUUCGUUGAAUUUGUUUAGAAUUGUUCAUACUUACUUGUAAAUUUCACAUGAAACGUGAAAUUUUAUUACCGAUGAAGUUAUUAUAAAAAAUUGCGGUUAUCAAAUUUUGUUCAAUUUAAGAGUAAAAUUUAAAAAGUUUACUCCCAAAAGACUUUUU